GAUGAACGCUGGCGGCGUGCCUAAUACAUGCAAGUCGAGCGAACAGACGAGGAGCUUGCUCCUCUGACGUUAGCGGCGGACGGGUGAGUAACACGUGGAUAACCUACCUAUAAGACUGGGAUAACUUCGGGAAACCGGAGCUAAUACCGGAUAAUAUAUUGAACCGCAUGGUUCAAUAGUGAAAGACGGUUUUGCUGUCACUUAUAGAUGGAUCCGCGCCGCAUUAGCUAGUUGGUAAGGUAACGGCUUACCAAGGCAACGAUGCGUAGCCGACCUGAGAGGGUGAUCGGCCACACUGGAACUGAGACACGGUCCAGACUCCUACGGGAGGCAGCAGUAGGGAAUCUUCCGCAAUGGGCGAAAGCAUGACGGAGCAACGCCGCGUGAGUGAUGAAGGUCUUCGGAUCGUAAAACUCUGUUAUUAGGGAAGUACAAAUGUGUAAGUAACUAUGCACGUCUUGACGGUACCUAAUCAGAAAGCCACGGCUAACUACGUG
Molecule: ribosomal RNA, 497 nt
Filed under: uncultured bacterium
Lineage: Bacteria
Description: partial 16S ribosomal RNA
Rfam family: Bacterial small subunit ribosomal RNA
Source: RNAcentral